RNAcentral lists this long non-coding RNA (726 nucleotides) under Homo sapiens (human). Its description in RNAcentral is "novel transcript". The record is from RNAcentral. Lineage: Eukaryota; Metazoa; Chordata; Mammalia; Primates; Hominidae.
AGUCUACGAAACCCCACAGCUCCUAAGAAUUCUCUCACCUGCCUUCUGCCCUUAAGCUCCGGUAGAUUGCAAAUAACCUGCUUUCUUUCUGUUCCCGAGCUGCGUUCGGACCCAUGUCUUAUUGUAAAUCCCACGCAAGCUGCGUUCGGACCCGUCUGAUCGUAAAUCCCAUGUAAGGUACCUGCCGUCGGAAGAUUUGAACGUUCUACUUGGACACCUAAAACCCACAGUCCUCCAGAAAGACAACAGGUACAAAGCCCUAAGGAUUAUAAAGGUAUGCUGCUUACCAUCAUCUUAGUGACCAAGGCAGCGAAGCUGUUUCUGUACCUUGGAACAGUCUUCCCUGACAAGCCAGAGAACAGUGAUAAAGCCACCAGCCUUGGGAUCAGGACUGAAAAGGCAAGAGUGAUGGAGAUUUCUCCUGCGCUAAGCCAAGAGAAGGUUUCAGCACUUCAGACAGCUCCCACCGAAGUAGCCGCGCUCCCAGCUGCUUGCAGAUGUUGAAAAGGAAAGCCUCGGUUUGUCUUGAGGUUGUCAGCAGGUGCAAGACACGUAAUAAAAUGCAAUGUGUUCCUAAUUCAUUGCAUAUCCUCAGCUUUAAAUUUGGGUAGCAAAAUGAUUACUCUAGAUUCUUCAGUCUUGGCAAGUAUCUGUACCUAAAAAGCAGUUUUUCUACCUAAUGUCUUUUUUUGUUUUUGUUUUUCAAUACACCUUAAGCAAAUUGAA